GAAGAAAAAGCUUCGAACUAUACUUCAAGUUCAGUAUGUAUUGCAGAACUUGACACAGGAGCACGUACAAAAAGACUUCAAAGGGGGUUUGAAUGGUGCAGUGUAUUUGCCUUCAAAAGAACUUGACUACCUCAUUAAGUUUUCAAAACUGACCUGCCCUGAAAGAAAUGAAAGUCUGAGAGUCUCUAAUGGAAUUUGCCCAGCCAGAGAUACAACCACAAGAGUUUCUUAACAGACGCUAUAUGACAGAAGUAGAUUAUUCAAACAAACAAGGCGAAGAGCAACCUUGGGAAGCGGAUUAUGCUAGAAAACCAAAUCUCCCAAAACGUUGGGAUAUGCUUACUGAACCAGAUGGUCAAGAGAAGAAACAGGAGUCCUUUAAGUCCUGGGAGGCUUCUGGUAAGCACCAGGAGAUAUCCAAGCCUGCAGUUUCCUUAGAACAGAGGAAACAAGACACCUCAAAACUCAGGUCUACUCUGCCGGAAGAGCAGAAGAAGCAGGAGAUCUCCAAAUCCAAGCCAUCUCCUAGCCAGUGGAAGCAAGAUACACCUAAAUCCAAAGCAGGGUAUGUUCAAGAGGAACAAAAGAAACAGGAGACACCAAAGCUGUGGCCAGUUCAGCUGCAGAAAGAACAAGAUCCAAAGAAGCAAACUCCAAAGUCUUGGACACCUUCCCUGCAGAGCGAACAGAACACCACCAAGUCAUGGACCACUCCCAUGUGUGAAGAACAGGAUUCAAAACAGCCAGAGACUCCAAAAUCCUGGGAAAACAAUGUUGAGAGUCAAAAACACUCUUUAACAUCACAGUCACAGAUUUCUCCAAAGUCCUGGGGAGUAGCUACAGCAAGCCUCAUACCAAAUGACCAGCUCCUGCCCAGGAAGU
This 882-nucleotide small RNA is filed under the name Pan troglodytes (chimpanzee). Its description in RNAcentral is "processed transcript". Lineage: Eukaryota; Metazoa; Chordata; Mammalia; Primates; Hominidae. The record is from RNAcentral.